Molecule: long non-coding RNA, 1954 nt
Filed under: Strigops habroptila (Kakapo)
Lineage: Eukaryota; Metazoa; Chordata; Aves; Psittaciformes; Psittacidae
Description: lncRNA (ENSSHBG00005004857.1)
Source: RNAcentral
GGAUGAAACAGGGCUGUGGUGGGAACUUCCUAUGGCAGCACCGCCACCUAAAAUGGAAUUUUGGUUUUACUGGAUUUAUGGGUGAGCCCUGAGUUGAUAAUAUUUCUUUUUCUUGGUGAUUUUCAACAUUUUUUUGUUCUCUCACAUUUUUAUGCUAUUUCUCACUCAAAUUUGACUACUGGUAGCAGGCUGCACCCAGCUCUGAGCUUUGAUGUAAAGCUCCGCAGUGUAUAUAUAGUUCUGGGUUUGAUGUCUUUAUGUCAGAAGCCCAUGGGCACAUGGGUUCAGUGUUUUGCUUCACUAUCAUAGAAUCAUAGAAUGGUUAGGGUUGGAAAGGACCUUAAGAUCAUCUAGUUCCAACCCCUCUGCCAUGGGCAGGGACACCUCGCACUAAACCAUGUCGCCCAAGGCUCUGUCCAACCUGGCCUUGAACACCUCCAGGGAUGAAGCAUUCACAACUUCCGUGGGCAACCCAUUCCAGUGCCUCACCACCCUCACUGUAAAGAACUUCUUCCUUAUAUCGAACCUGAACUUCCUCUGUUUAAGUUUAAACCCAUUCCCCCUUUUCCUAUUGCUACAGUCCCUGAUGAAGAGUCCCUCCCCAGCAUCCUUGUAAGCCCCCUUCAGAUACUGGAAGGCUGCUAUGAGGUCUCCACGCAGCCUUCUCUUCUCCAGGCUGAACAGCCCCAACUCUCUCAGCCUGUCUUCAUACAGUAACUGAGAGCUACUCAAGGAUCCAAUGUAAUUUGUUUGAAGACACUGAGCUGUGAAGAGGUGUGGGGAAUCGAACUCUCAUGAUGCUUGAAAUGCAUGGGCUGGGUGGGCGAGCAAAAGAAAUAAAGAGAGUUUGUUUCUCCUGGCAAUCCUACAGCUGAGAAUUGCUCAAAGACGGGUAGAGAUUUAAAGGACAACACUGCAGGAGCAUGAAGGUGAUCUUUGUAUGGAACAAAACUGCAGUGAGCUCAACAUGUGUAUGUAAUUUUUCAGUGCAAAAUAUGUACCCAUAAAGCUUCAUGUUUGUUGGAAAACGUGAACAUAGAACAGCUGAUUGUGCCUGGCCCUAAGGUUCGUUCUGACCUCUAUCCAGUCACCAACAGUCCUAAGUCAGUGAAAGGAUGUAAGAGCAAGGUGAGGACUAACAGAAUCUCCCAGUGCCUGCUGGGAGAACCUCCCUGUGUGCUGCUUCUGAACUGGGUGCUGAACACUGGUGACGGACAGCGCUGUUCAGAGCUGGAGCACAGGCACUGGUUAGCUGUGUCCCUCUGGGCACCCGGCAGGCGAGCGUGACGCCGCCUCGCGGCCUCUUUGUAACUGCAAAGCGAUAAAAGGCCUUUAAUUCUCACAUGCCAGGAGGGAAAAAAGGAGAGUGUGUGCUGUCUGGCCCAAAGGGACGUCAGUGAGAUUGCCGCUAAGGCUUCAGGUAAGCCCUCGUUUCUUAGGGAUUUUUGUAUGUGUUGGAAUAAAUGGAAUGCAGGAGUUCAGACUCGUGGUUGUACUUUAACUGGUGCUAUUUUUUAUACCAAUUUACAGUGCCUUUUUGGAUUAGCUCUUGUCUGUAGCACGUCCUAAGGAAGUGCGUAGCCGUCAGGUCUGGAGCACAGGCAGGAGUGUGAAUGCCUGUGAGAGGAACAGGGCUUCUGGCUUCUGGUCAGCAUCUUGCGCACCUGAUGGGGAUGGAGAUCUUGGAGCAGGGAAUCUGUGAUCUGUUUUUAGUAAUCACAGUUUAAUAUGAGCACUUCAUUAUUGUGCUAUUGGACCUGUGUUAUGGUAGACACUUUUACUGUUUCACUUGUAAACUGUAAGUUACCUAAUAGAGAAGUCAAAUCCACUUUUAAGUCAGUACUAUUUAUUACAAUGUUUACUUGUGUGAUCCCCGCAUUUGUAGCACUGUAAAUGGCUACACACAGUACUUAGGUAAAUGUUUGUAACGUUAAUAAACGCAAACAUGGCAGCA